RNAcentral lists this ribosomal RNA (305 nucleotides) under uncultured bacterium. Its description in RNAcentral is "bacterial SSU rRNA". It matches the Rfam family "Bacterial small subunit ribosomal RNA", at positions 335 to 638 of the family's 1533-position model. The record is from RNAcentral.
UUUCCUACGGGAGGCAGCAGUGAGGAAUAUUGGUCAAUGGUCGGGAGACUGAACCAGCCAAGCCGCGUGAGGGAUGAAGGUACAGAGUAUCGUAAACCUCUUUUGUCAGGGAACAAAGGCGGGGACGUGUCCCCGGAUGAGUGUACCUGAAGAAAAAGCAUCGGCUAACUCCGUGCCAGCAGCCGCGGUAAUACGGAGGAUGCGAGCGUUAUCCGGAUUUAUUGGGUUUAAAGGGUGCGUAGGCGGGCUGUUAAGUCAGCGGUCAAAUGUCGGGGCUCAACCCCGGCCUGCCGUUGAAACUGGCG